Molecule: long non-coding RNA, 1648 nt
Organism: Hippocampus zosterae (dwarf seahorse)
Lineage: Eukaryota; Metazoa; Chordata; Actinopteri; Syngnathiformes; Syngnathidae
Exons: 5
Source: RefSeq, a predicted model, not a curated record
ACGUCACGGCAAAGACGGAAAUUGAGUGGCCGUGAGCGAGUGCGCGGACACCGGCCGCCAUCUUGAGAAUUUAACUUUGGUAAGCGUUUGAGAGACCGUUAUAGCCUUUAAGAUGUAUUUUUGCGUUUUAUUUGGUUCUCAAGUGUGCAUUUGGAAUUAAAUUGAGGCUACACGCCAGAUUAUGGUAGCAGGAAAGAAUCAUUUGGCAUGUGUCCUCAGGCUAUUUUAGUUAGAUUUUCCUGCUUGUCUUAAUGCUUUAUAAAGGUCAGGUAAGAUUACAGUGACAGCACAGUCAUGGAGCAAUGUGUGAAAAUAUCCAAAGAUGGGAUUUCCCAACCGACAUUUCACAACAGCUCCUCAGGUGGAAAAUUGAUUUCCAAGCCAAAACCGCACUUCAGUCACCUCUGUCCUCAUCCUGUUGACUAAUUUUAAGGCAAGGUGCUUGAUUAGUUCAGUGAAAUAUAUGAACGAGCUGUUACAAGCUCCUCUUCUUUUUUUCCUUCAUAAUAUUUGUUUACCUCAUCGGGCGCAGCCAUCAACAAGUGGAGCCAGACAGAUGGUGCUUGACUUGAUGGCUGCGUGUAUCUCCAGGCUAUAAAACUGUCAGAAAAUCUGGAGAUGCGUUCAUGCCACUUCUUGCACACACUUCUUUUUUCCCCUCGGUUGUCAUAACACAUCCCCCUGCGGCACAGGGAAGCGCCAAAUGAAGGCCCCUGUCAACUCAUAGCGGUCCACAAAGGAGCAUUUACCACUCCACCCACCCCAUCUCAAGGUCGCGGGGUUCUUUUCUUUCUUUCUUUUGGUCUGUCUUUCUUUAUCUUUCAGGCCCCGAGGAAAGGAUGAGAUGAGCUUACUGCUUCACCUCCACACCUGAGCACCAUGGGCACAAGCCACUGUCCAGACUGCAGGGAGACCAUCGACUCCACUUUGAAGCCACUGUGACGAGACGCUGAAUGAGAGCAAAAACGGGGCCUGUCAGAACCUUGCCUAGCCUGGCCCGGCUGCCCGGAGUUCUGCUGGGAAAAAAACCACAACGGGACUAUUUGCAAAUGUCUGUCCGUCUCUGUGAGUGAUGGGGAGAAGAGACACUGUAACGUUCUCCCGAGGUCACAAGUUCGAAACCCCCCUGACCCACACUAAUAUUGCUCACCCCCACCCGCUUUUGGGUCCUACCUCUCUUCAGGAGACUCCCCCGGCCAUCCAGGCUGCAGUUCCAGCGCUCGUUGCGGAACUGGUAGCGGCACUCGAGCAAGCUGAGGCGCACGGACUCGCGCAGCGUCUCGGCCAGGCCGGGUUCGCGUCGACACAGCCUCUUCUGCCGCCGAGACAGCACCAUCUGCUCGCACUGCUUCAGGUUUGCUGACCCAAAGUAAGCUGCGCCGUGCGACAGGAGGAUGCAGAGUGCAACGAGGCGCAGUAGGCAGGCGGUCCGCGGGAGCCUGGAGCGCAUGCUGCCGGCUCGGUUCUGCUCUUCAUCGCGCUGAUUCUGCCCAAGGAGAAAGUCCGAGCCUCGUUGGCCGGCGCGCCUCUUUAAGGUGAGGUGCCCUCCCACAGUGAGCGCCACCCAGGUGGAUGCAGCUGCAAAAGGGGAGCUCGUUUACCUGUGCACCACCACCACCUCCGCGUAAACAACAAAAAAACAUCACGG